Molecule: long non-coding RNA, 402 nt
Organism: Crotalus tigris (Tiger rattlesnake)
Lineage: Eukaryota; Metazoa; Chordata; Lepidosauria; Squamata; Viperidae
Exons: 2
Source: RefSeq, a predicted model, not a curated record
AAAAGGAUAAAGAUGCCACCUGGAGUAUAAUAAUCUUUGAAAGGACGAUCAAGAGCAGGUCCAUCUGCCAACAGCUCAGAUACAGAAACAAAUAUGGCAAGAUUCAGACCCACUAGAAGCAAAACCCUCUAUCGUAGAAAGCAACAAAAGCGAAGUCGCGGUGGGUCAGGAAAAAGGAGAAAGUUCCCGCAGCAUGGCAGAAAGAGAGGAGGUCGCAGAUCUCAUGGACAGAGGAGAAGAUAUGAUUAAAGGUGUUUUUCAUUGUUUCUUCCACUCUUGUUUUGGAAAGCUGACUUCUCAAAUGAAACAAAGCAAUUCCUUACCAUCAAAAACACUAAGAUGACUUCAAAGAACAUGAGCAUGAUUGAGCAACGCCACCUGUCAAUAAAAAUUAGCAUUGCA